RNAcentral lists this long non-coding RNA (652 nucleotides) under Homo sapiens (human). RNAcentral's name for it is "LHRI_LNC683.1". Lineage: Eukaryota; Metazoa; Chordata; Mammalia; Primates; Hominidae. The record is from RNAcentral.
GUCCUGCUCUGCCAUGGUAGAUGUGCUUGCUUUCCCUUUGCCUUCUGCCAUGAUUGUAAGUUUCCUAAGGUUUUCCAGCCAUGCUUCCUGUACAGCCUGCAGAACUGCUCUUUCCUUUAUAAAAUACCCAGUCUCAGGCCUGUUAUUUGAUGAAGAUGAUAUAAAUAGAAGCAGAGCAGCACAUAGUGUGACCACGAAAGGCCAAAGAGCACAUACUGGAGACCUGAAUGUCAACCAAACUGCAUAAUCCCUGUUUAUCUUCAUUGUAGAAAUUGCCAUAACCGCAUUCCUGUAAACUUAUAUUCAUGAAGAAAGUCAGAGUACUUGUUGCAGAUGCAAUGCUAGGUCUUCAGCCAUGUGCUAUAGAAACAGAAGGUGACAAAUAUAACCAAGGAUUGGGAGGAGAAAAAGAAGAAAGCCAAUUUGGGAAAUGAGACUGUAAAGUUUAUAAUGCUACUGAUUUUCAAACAUUUUCAGAAGCAAUGGAAAGAAGAAUGCGAAGAAAAUGAGUUUAUUUUCCAAAAUGCUUUUUUUGUUAUUGUUUUGCAAUUUCCCUUUGUUAACAUCAUAUAGGUUAUGGGGGUUUCUGUUUUGAAAAAAAUAAAUACUGCACCGUGUGUGGAUUGCUACUCAGCACUCAGCAAUAAACAAG